CCUAUGGCCAUACCACCGUGAACGGGCCCAAUCUCACCUGAUCUCAGAGCUAAGCAGGGUCGGGCCUGGUUAGUACUUGGAUGGGAGAGUAACCAAUCCAGAUUGGAGCAAGAACACGGACAGAUCAUGGGA
RNAcentral lists this ribosomal RNA (132 nucleotides) under Propithecus coquereli (Coquerel's sifaka). Lineage: Eukaryota; Metazoa; Chordata; Mammalia; Primates; Indriidae. The record is from RNAcentral.